Rattus norvegicus (Norway rat) is the source of this 9132-nucleotide non-coding RNA. Lineage: Eukaryota; Metazoa; Chordata; Mammalia; Rodentia; Muridae. The record is from RefSeq and is a predicted model, not a curated record.
ACCAGAAAAGCAAGAUCUAGAUUUAAAAUCAAAUUUGAUCAUGAUGCUGGAGGGCUUCAAGAAAGACAUGAAGAACUCUCUUAGAGAAACGCAGGAAAGCAUAAAUAAACAAGUAGAAGCCUAUAGAGAGGAAUCACAAAAAUGCCUGAAAGAAUUCCAGGUAAACACAAUCAAACAGUUGAAGGAAUUAAAAAUGGAAAUAGAAGCAAUGAAGAAAGAACACAGGGAAACAACCCUGGAUAUAGAAAACCAAAGGAAGAAACAAGAAUCCGUAGAUACAAGCAUCACCAACAGAAUACAAGAGAUAGAAGAGAGAAUCUCAGGAGCAGAAGAUUCCGUAGAAAUCAUCGACAUGGAAAAUAUCAUCCUGAGUGAGGUAACCCAAUCACAGAAAAACACACAUGGUAUGCACUCAUUGAUAAGUGGCUAUUAGCCCAAAUGCUUGAAUUACCCUAGAUGCACAGAACACAUGAAACUCAAGACGGAUGAUCAAAAUGUGAAUGCUUCACUCCUUCUUUAAAAGGAGAACAAGAAUACCCUUGGCAGGGAAUAGGGAGGCAAAGAUUAAAACAGAGGCUGAAGGAACACCCAUUCUGAGCCUGCCCCACAUGUGGCCCAUACAUAUACAGCCACCCAAUUAGACAAGAUGGAUGAAGCAAAGAAGUGCAGGCUGUUAGGAACCGGAUGUAGAUCUCUCCUGAGAGACACAGCCAGAAUACAGCAAAUACAUAGGCGAAUGCCAGCAGCAAACCACUGAACUGAGAACAGGACCCCCAUUGAAGGAAUCAGAGAAAGGACUGGAGAGCUUGAAGGGGCUCGAGACCCCAUAUGAACAACAAUGCCAAGCAACCAGAGCUUCCAGGGACUAAGCCACUACCCAAAGUCUAUACAUGGACUGACCCUGGACUCUAACCUCAUAGGUAGCAAUGAAUAGCCUAGUAAGAGCACCAGUGGAAGGGGAAGCCCUUGGUCCUGCCAAGACUGAACCCCCAGUGAAAGUGAUUGUUGGGGGGAGGGCGUUAAUGGGGGGAGGAUGGGGAGGGGAACACCCAUAAAGAAGGGGAGAAGGAGAGGUUAGGGGGAUGUUCCGGGAAACCGGGAAAGGGAAUAACACUCGAAAUGUAAAUAAGAAAUACUCAAGUUAAUAGAAAGAGAGAAAGAAAGAAAGAAAGAAAGAAAGAAAGAAAGAAAGAGAGAGAAAGAGAGAAAGAAAGAAAGAAAGAGAGAAAGAAAGAGAGAAAGAAAGAAAGAGAGAGAGAGAAAGAAAGAAAGAAAGAAAGAAAGGAAGGAAGGAAGGAAAGAAAGAAAGAAAGAAAGAAAGAAAGAAAGAAAGAGAGAAAGAGAGAAAGAGAGAAAGGAAGAAAGAGAGAAAAAACAGGGAAAAAAGUUUACAUAGUAAAAAGAUUAGUUCUCUCCAAUUGAGCAUCAGUGGGUUUACAAAACAUGUUUAAGGGUAGACACAAUUCCCAAAACUAGGCAAACAAUGCAAAACAAAUUCAGUGGAACAUAGGAAUCCCUGUUUGCUUGCUUGCUUGCUUGUUUCACAAUUCUUAGGUUAAGGUUUUCUGGUUGGGGUUUUGUUUUUCCUUUAGUUUCUUUUUAACUUAUGGGACUUUUUCUUACAUACAUUCUUUGGGUCUGUGUUUGGGUAGGUGGUUGUUUUGCAUACGAAUGUGUGUGUCUCCACAUCUGUCUGUGUUUCUUAGGCUUUUUCUUAGCUAAUGUUUGUCCAUUUGUUUUGUCCCACUGAGAUGUUUUAAUUUUGUCUUACUUUUUUAUAAUCAUCUUAUUUCUUUUUUAGAUGGCUGCUUGUUUGGGGAAGAUAGAGAGAUAGGGAAUGGAUUUGAUUAAUGGGAAGGUUGGCAGGACCAUGGAUGAGCUGCGGGAUUUUGAACCACAAUCAAAACACAAUGUGUAAAAUAAUCUAUUUUUAAAUUGUGUAUUCAAACUAAUUUGAUCUCAACACUGUGCUUUAUCUAGGUUACAAAUUCACCCCUGGCCACUAUCUUAAAAAUAUGAAGAAUGACUCUCAAGGCCAAAGACAAGGGAUUUUAGAUGAACACUGUUCUAGGACUGGAGGUGAGACACUCAGGAAAGGAGGAAAGCAAGGCUGUCUGCCAGGAGCCAUUGCCAAGAUGUGGUGCACUGUGCUCAGUGGUGCUGCUCUAGGGCCUGUUAGGGCUUUCCUGACAAGACCAUGGCAGGUAUGUUGGUCAGCACAUCUGUCCACUCAGGAUUUGUUCAAGUCCAAGAAGAGCAGUACUUCUCUGAUCUCUUCAUAUGAAGAUGCUCUAAAGCCUGUCAGAGGGAACAAGAGUGCAAUCAACUAUGUACUGCCUCUAAGAAAGGCACAUUCUUCUAGGUGUCGGGUCUAGAGUUUCAGUCUCACCCUCACGUGUAUCUUCCAUAAUGCUGUGGUCAUUCCUGUGUAAAGGGUAGGAAAGAGGAUCAGAAAUCAGAGCCUGAGUUCCUAAACACUAUUUGCACUUCAGCCUUACAGCCAGGACAGAAUUUCUGGAUAAUCCCAACUUCUGAAUGAUGAAAAAGUAUAGAACUACUAUUUUAAGGUUUCUGCCUGUCACCUGCCUGACCAGUUUCUUUCUACUGGUCACAGCAAAAUCAGCUUUAAUAUCAAUAAAGCCCUUUUUGCUCAGUCUUCCUUUGCUCAGUGAUUUCUGCUAUAGCUUUCAAAGCACUGUUGUUGUUGUUGUUAUCAUUAAUCAUUCUGUUUCUUUACAUCUCAGAUGUUUUCCUACUUCCCAGUUACCCCUCCACAAACACUUCCUCCAACAUCUGCCCUCUCCUCAGUCCCCUUUCCCUCUGUGAGUGUACUACCCCACAAACCACCCUAUCAAACCCCAUUGCUCAAGCAUCUCCACAUGCUGGGGAAACAAAGUGCCACAGGACCAAGGGCCUCCCUUCCAUUGAUAUCCAAAAAGGCAAUCCUCUGCUACCUAUUUAUCUGGAGCCAUGGAUCCCUCCCAGUAUGCUCCUUGGCUGGUGGUCUAGUUCCUGGAAGCUCUGGAACUUCCUGCCAGCUGAUGUUCUUUCUAUAAGAUUGUAAUCCCCCCCAGCCCCUCCAGACCUUCUGCCAGCUCCCCACCACAGUUCAUAAACUCAGUCUGAUGGUUGACUCCAAGCAGCCACAUCUGCAUUGGUCAGUUGCUGACUGAACCUCCUGAGGAGCCACCAUACCAGGUUUCUGCUAACAAGCACCUCUUUUCAACAGCAACAGUGUUGGGGUUUAGUGUCUGCAGACAGGAUAAAUGCCCAAGUGUGGUAGUCCCAUAGUGGUCCUUCCUCCAUUCCGUGCUGUAGUUUUUGUCCCUCUCAUUCCUUUGUCUGCAGACAGGAUAAAUCCCAGGUAUGGUGGUCACGUGAUGGCCCUUCCCUCAAUUUGUGUUCUAUUUUUUAUCCCUGUCAUUCCUUUGGACAGGAACAUUUCUGGGUUAACAACAUUGAGAUGGGUGGGUAACUUUCAGUAUAUAACGGUCCAGUGCAAUCUGUGCUGAUAAUAUAAAGAUUAAUAGAUAGGUUAUUUUGUGUUGCAUAUAUUAUAUUUGGUGACUAUAUAAUAUGGGAUAGGUUCCUGUUUACAAAGAAAGUCAGUUAACUGGUGAGACCAUCUGCUCUGAGAUGUGAGUGUUCUCUGGACUUCCUAGAUACACCUGAUUCUUGAGAUCACCAGAUGAGAACAGGUGACUAAAGUAAGUUCAGCAGUACACUUAUGUGACCCCUUCACACUUGUUUAUAUUUGUCAUAGAAUGGUGUCCACAGCAGUCUGAAUAUGAUGGGACAUAUUCUUUAAUAAUUGUAUUAUCUAAAAUCAAAUUGUGUUUUAGGGUAGUAAGUGCAAGAAUGGGCCUGACAGUAGAAUGUGUACUAUGUGUAGGGAACAUACCCUUUUCCUAUUACUGUUUAUAUGUUUGUGCUACAUGGCUGAUUUCCAAGUGUGUUAAAGGUAUCUCACUUCUGAGGCUGGCAAGGAAUCUCAGUUAAUAAAGAUGCUUGGCAAUCAGUCUGGCGAGAGGAAUUUGAUCUUUUGAAACCAUGUAAAGGUGGAAGGUAAAACAAAUUCCAUAAAAUCAUCCUAUGAUUUUAAGCAUCUGUCAUGGACUAUUUACACCCUUGAACGUACUUUCCAACCACACACUAUGAACACCCAACUACAAGAGGAUAUAAGCACAGACACAGAUACAUAUAGAAAAGAACAAGCACAUGGAGAGAAAUAAAAUCAAGGCUUUCUGUUGAUGACUCCACAGUUAAGGGCCCCUGCAUCUAAUCUAGGUGACCUCUGUUCAGACUGACUCCCACAAGUUGUACUUUCACCUACACAUACACAAAACCCAUGCUGCAUAUGACCACCACACACAGACAAUGCUAUUGUACAGUGUAUAUACAUAAGUAAAUGGUUAACAAAUAUGUUCUAUUGCCAAAGGGAAGGAAAACAAAAUGAAGUCAAAAAAUGCUCCAUGACACAGGCCUAUCUGCUCACUGGUCAGCAGCAAAGGGGUUUUCCUGUCAUCAGAUGGCAUGAUCUUUCCCUUGAGAAAGUAGACCCUUUCUGUCUCUAGUCUCUGUAUAUAUUCCACAUGGGAAUACAGUACUGUUAAUAUGGACAAUAUAUGGAGCCAUGGCUCAGGGCAUUGACUUUUCUUGCAGAAGACCUGUGGUCAAUACCAGAAACACACAUACAAAUCACAGCCAUAUAUAAUGUCAUUUCCAAAGAAUACAUUGCCAUUUUCUAGCCUUGCAAGCACAGCAUAGUCAAGGACACUCACAUGGAAACAUGCAAACAACACAUACACAUCAAUAAUAAAAAUAAAUGUUUCAAAACGACCUGUAGGUUUUAUUCUGGGUAGUAACUUUCUUCUGCUGAGCCCUGUUGGGCAGUCCACCUCUACAUUAAGUCAAUCAAAGUCUCAACUUUAUAAUAAAUUCAAAAAAUGUUGGAGAUUUCUUCAAUUUCCUUUUCUUGUGGGGUCGUCUAAGAAACUUACCUUAUGUUUCCUAAAGUCCUGUGUCUAGGGUAUUUACUUUCAUUGUUUCUUUUUGUGAUUGACACAGGGGCCACUUCAUAGAAAAGACUGACAUGGAACUGGGUAUAAAAUUCAGACUGCCCCAAGCUUAUUCAUUGCCUUUUUCUGUCCCUCAGUUGGACAGAUACAGACAGGAUAGAGCAGAUUAAAAGUGGAUAAGGGCAUGUUUAUUAGGGAGCAGUUGUCAGGUGGGUUCAGAGAUCUCACAGGGGAAAAAGAGGGAAGUCACACUUCUAGGCUAAAGCAAGGCAGGGAAGAGGACUUACGGGUUUUGGGGUGGUGGUGACUUGUAAGGUAGGAGCUGGGAUUAUGUUUAAACAUGGUCAAAACCAGAAACCCUGUGUAAGUAUUCCUGGGUGGGCUGCUGGAAAAUAAAGAGACUAGACUUGAUGAUAUGUUGCUCUGGAGUUUGCUGCAACUGACAGGAAGUUGUCUCUGUGGGGUUGGGGGUUGGAAAGGAGUGCACAUGGUGUUUAGCAACUUGUGAAGGGAAUGAGCCUAAUACUAAUGAUCUUCCUCCCUCCUCUUCCUAAAUACUGGCAUUACAGAUGUGGGACACCAGGCUUAGUCCUUUAAAGUGUGCUAUAUUUUGUGCUGUGCCUUUCCCUACACAGAGUGGAACUAGAAUGGAGUUUGCGUGAGACUUAUCUUUUGAGACACAACACAAGUGACUAAUCACCCCAGAUAUAGAGCAAAGGACAGAACAAAGAAUAGAUAGAAACAAAUUCCACCAUGGUGAACAACGAGUUUUAUUGGGGUUAAUUACAGAAUUAUAGGGGAAAGGUUACUUACAGAAGUAGAAAUCAUUCAAAGACAGACUUAUCACAAAGCACACCAAAGCACAGGUGAGAUCUCACAAACGCUGGGACGUGCCAGCACACUGUACAGACUAUAGAAAUCACAAGUGUGGGAGUGUUCUGUGAGGUAGCUCAGUUAAUUGGAGCAUAUACAAGUGACUCCAUUAAUCUACACCUCUUCUGGUCAGUUCAGCUACGUUCUGUUUCUGCAAGGCAGCUGAUCUGAUCUGAGAGUCUUUAAAGCUUGCUUUGUCUGAAAAUCUUCUUUGAAGGCUUGCUUCAUUGGAAAAACUCUCAGCAACCAGUAUUGUUUACUCUUGAGAGGGUUGCCCUAUUGAAUCUGGUCAGUUCAGGGACUUUCUGAAGCUCAUUUUCUUGGUUACCUUCUGGCAUAGGAGCUUCCCUGUAGGGUGUAAGGGUUCAAACACCCAGGAAACAGCUGGAUAGCACUCUACCCCCAUCCUGGGGCUCUUAAAUUCUUUCCACCACCUCUUCCACAAUGGUCCCUGAACUUUAGAAGGGAGGGCACACUUAUCAACCUAGGGCUAAGAAUUAGGCCACUGUAUCAAAGCAAAAGUCCCUUGAUCUCAAGGGUUUCACUGGUGGUUGAGUUGAUGCUGACAACUUUGGCAAUCUAUGGCAUUAAAAACACACUUGUUUAGAAGGCAGUAUGAUAGGAACAUCAAAUCCAUCUAAUAAAAAAUCGAAGCUGUUGCCCAUUUUGACCCAUGACCAGCAAAUCUAAAGAUUUUUGUACAGACUUGCAUUACCAGAUAUAAUCCCCCGUGUUAUGGUGUGGGCCUUUAUUCCAAUCAGAAGACUUUUGGACCUAUUCUUCUUAACCUAGCCACUACAGAAUGAAAGGAACAUCCGGUUUGGCUUGUCACUAAUUUAAUCAGCAGUGUUCAUAGGUAAACAGGAAUGUUGUUGACAUAUCUGUACUAGGAACCUGAAUGGCACCCUCUGGGACUAUGUCUGCCUACCAGCAGGGUGGGAGUUUCCAGUUAAGUCCCAGCUUCAUUUCCUAUGUCCUAUACUCAAAGAAUUGUCUUCACCAAACAGUGUUUUCCUGUUUCUUCCGGCAUGUAACCAGCAUCAGUAGCAGCAGAAUGUAUGCUCUGUGGGUCCUCAAGUCUUUUCAUGGCCAACAACUCUCAGGUGGGUAGCCAAUCAAUUGCACUGGGUUUUCAUUUAGUCACCACAUGUCUUCUAGGAGUAUCAUUUUCUUUUAUUUAUUUCGUUCUUUAAUUGGAUUUUUUAUUUGCAUUUAAAAUGUAAUUCCCUUUCUCAUUUUCCCGGACAUAAGCCUCCAUCACAUCCCCCUCUCCUUCUUCUACUAGGGCCUUCAUACAAAUGAGUUACUUUCCUACUUUGUGGGGAGCAGGUGUAGCAGCAAUCCCAAGAUGGCGCCCGGGACUGCUGCCGAGUCUUACGACUAGCACCUGAAAGUAAGCCAUGCCCCAAUCGUGAGAGCUGCGUAGCCGCACCAUGACUAUAGAUCAGGCCAUGUGACGUGGACCUAUGAAUGGAGGUUACACAGACUGGACGGUUGAGGCGGUUGAGGGAGGUUAUAAGAGAGUGGGCUCGGGGGCUGGAUGGAGACAUUGUUGCUGCUUGCAGACAAAAAGGUUCCUGAAUAAACUGCUUUGAGAAGAACAUCGUGGUAUCACUCCUUUCCUGCUGGUCGGGGUUGGAAGUGACAAGUGGUGGCCCAUACGGGGAAAUUCGUUCAGAACUCAUCGCACUCAGGGUGGCUAGCUGGAUCAUCGGCAGCCGCUGUGGGUCCCAGAGAGGCUGACCAGAGCGGUCCAAGAUGAACAGAAGGAGGAUACUGUGGAUGUUCCUGUUGUUGCCGAUGCUUCCUGCAGUGAUGGCUGAAGACCUACGCUGAGGACUUUUAUCUGUAUUUCCCAAACCCCUGCCACUGCAUUUGGCACAAGUGUUUCCCCAGUUUUUCUCUUCUAAUGCUUCGUUACAAUUACCCUUUUUGCCAUGGGAUGGAGAAAUAGCGCCUGUCAAUGAUUCAUUGCAGCUUCAGCUGAAAUGGUAAUCAAUCAGCUGCAUGGUUUGACAUGCCUAUCAACAGUUCUACCAAAGCUAAUGCCACAUGGAUUCUAGGGGUGUCGCCUGCCAGUAUUUCUAAAGGCAAUGAUACCAUGCCUUCCCAACCUAGAUGGGCUCCCUUUUGCAAGGGUACCCGUGAGUCACUUCUGCCAUGGACUGGGUGUCAGGCUAGAAAGGCAACAUGGGCUGUAAAGAAGUAUUUUACCUUUUCUCCUUAUAUUAGCAAAGCCCAUAAUGGCUCAUUUUCAGGGUAUAAUUGGACCUAUCAGAAUCCUGCUCAGGCAGUAGCUAGUAAUCCUUUCAAUGUGUGGUUGUUAUGUGGAGUGAAUGGUAUUUACACAGAUAUCUCUCCUCUGAGCAUGUUAGAGGGAGGGGAUUGGGGUAAUGUAAACUUUCAUUGGAAUGGAUCUGUAGGGUUUGAAACCUGUUUCUCAACUUGCUUAUGGGCUUAAUGUUUCCUUUAAGGCUACACCUGUCUUAUGUGGCCUCCUUUUGUGUUUAUUGUACUGGUUCGGGAGCUUAGACAAUAUAUCAUCCAUCUCAACUCCACCUGUGUGGACGUAUCUUUAGCUCUAGGACUGGCUGAUUGGAUCACCACAGCUGCCUCUCAGCUAAAAGAAUGGGCAGGACUCACUGGACUCACCCUGUGCCUGAUUCAAAAGGCAUCCUGGCCUUUUGGUGCAUUUGCCGUAUGCGGUUUCAUCAACGCAGAACUCAAGCCUUAAUGAUUCAGGUUUUUGCAGCAGUGGAGACAGGACAGUCUCCUUAAGUGUGGCUUGGUAUGCUAGAGAAGUAGUCAAUGACGGGUAAGACUCCCUGGGCAUGUCACCAACCUAAGACAGGGAUCAAAUCUAAGCUGUUUGUCUCCCGAUGACGGGUAAGGGGUAUUGCUGCAGGGAGCAACCUAAGACAGGCAUUCUCUCUGCCAAAAAUAUAAAGAAGGGGGAGAUGUGGGGAGCGGGUGUAGCGGCAAUCCCAAGAUGGCACCUGGGACUGCUGCCGAGUCUUACGACUAGCACCUGAAAGUAAGCCAUGCCCCAUCGUGAGAGCUGCGUAGCCGCACCAUGACUAUAGAUCAGGCCAUGUGACGUGGACCUAUGAAUGGAGGUUACACAGACUGGACGGUUGAGGCGGUUGAGGGAGGUUAUAAGGGAGUGGACUCAGGGGCUGGAUGGAGACAUUGUUGCUGCUUGCAGACAAAAAGUUUCCUGAAUAAACUGCUUUGAGAAGAA